UGCCAGCCGCCGCGGUAAUACCAUCACCACAAGUCUUAUGCAGAUACUAGGCUUAAAGCGUGCGCAGCCUGAUCCGGUAGUCUUCGGUUAAAUCUGUACGCUUAACGUACAGGCUGCCGGGAAUACUGCAGAGCUAGGGAGUGGGAGAGGUAGACGGUACUCGGUAGGAAGGGGUAAAAUCCUUUGAUCUAUUGAUGACCACCUGUGGCGAAGGCGGUCUACCAGAACACGUCCGACGGUGAGGGAUGAAAGCUGGGGGAGCAAACCGGAUUAGAUA
This 277-nucleotide ribosomal RNA is filed under the name uncultured bacterium. RNAcentral describes it as "partial 16S ribosomal RNA". It matches the Rfam family "Archaeal small subunit ribosomal RNA", at positions 456 to 735 of the family's 1478-position model. The record is from RNAcentral.